GAUGAACGCUGGCGGCGUGCCUAAUACAUGCAAGUCGAGCGAACGGACGAGAAGCUUGCUUUUCUGAUGUUAGCGGCGGACGGGUGAGUAACACGUGGAUAACCUACCCAUAAGACUGGGAUAACUUCGGGAAACCGGAGCUAAUACCGGAUAAUAUUUUGAACCGCAUGGUUCAAAAGUGAAAGACGGUCUUGCUGUCACUUAUAGAUGGAUCCGCGCUGCAUUAGCUAGUUGGUAAGGUAACGGCUUACCAAGGCAACGAUGCAUAGCCGACCUGAGAGGGUGAUCGGCCACACUGGAACUGAGACACGGUCCAGACUCCUACGGGAGGCAGCAGUAGGGAAUCUUCCGCAAUGGGCGAAAGCCUGACGGAGCAACGCCGCGUGAGUGAUGAAGGUCUUCGGAUCGUAAAACUCUGUUAUGAGGGAAGAACAUAUGUGUAAGUAACUGUGCACAUCUUGACGGUACCUAAUCAGAAAGCCACGGCUAACUACGU
This 496-nucleotide ribosomal RNA is filed under the name uncultured bacterium. RNAcentral describes it as "partial 16S ribosomal RNA". It matches the Rfam family "Bacterial small subunit ribosomal RNA", at positions 28 to 506 of the family's 1533-position model. The record is from RNAcentral.